GUGUGCCUCGGCAGCAUGUAUACUAAAAUUAGAACAAUACAGAGAAGAUUAGCAUGGCCCCUGUGCAAGGAUGAUAUGCAAAUUUGUGAAGCAUUCCAUAUUUUU
RNAcentral lists this small nuclear RNA (105 nucleotides) under Moschus moschiferus (Siberian musk deer). The record is from RNAcentral. Lineage: Eukaryota; Metazoa; Chordata; Mammalia; Artiodactyla; Moschidae.